Molecule: long non-coding RNA, 695 nt
Organism: Bombyx mori (domestic silkworm)
Lineage: Eukaryota; Metazoa; Arthropoda; Insecta; Lepidoptera; Bombycidae
Exons: 2
Source: RefSeq, a predicted model, not a curated record
UAUGACAGAAUUUAGAACAUUAUUGUAAUUUUAAAUUUCUGUAAAUACUACCGUAAUUGUCGAGGAGUUUUACUAAGCUUAUUAACUUAUAUUUAAAGAAUGAAGCAAGUAGAUACAUCUACAAUGGGUUUGAUUAAGCUAAUAAAUCAAAUUGAUUAAAAGUAACACCAAAAAGUAUAUUAAAAGGUCUUAAAUUACAACACACACACGCCAAAAAAAACAUUAAAUGUUAAGGAUAUUUAAAGUGAUUCUGAAUACACCCCUGUGCUGUGGGGUUACGGAUAUUUGACUUUGUUUGAAUUUCCGUUGGAGCAGAAUAUGGAAAUUUAGCUGGCACGAGAAAGAAAUGUGAUACGGUGAUCGAUUUUAGCGUUAAAAAAUGUGAGCAUCAAUAUUUUUUUUCUAAUUUAAUAACUUUACUUUUUCCUUACCUAAUAUUAAUAUGCGCCGAUCUUCUUCAAAUUUGUUAAAAACUUUCGUAUAUUUUAUGUACAAUAUUAAUCUAUUACAUAUUCAUGUGUAGAAUAUCAAAUUCAUAACGAAUAAUCGCCCUCAGAUUUACAACACAACAGCUUUCUUCUAAGUCCGAUAGUAAAUAACAAAUAACAUAACACAACAAAUUAUAUAACAUUAUAUAGCACACACUAUAGAACAAAAAAUAUUAAAAAACGCCAUGGUCAUUUUUUAAAAGGGAA